GACGAACGCUGGCGGCGUGCUUAACACAUGCAAGUCGAACGGAAAGGCCCUGCUUUUGUGGGGUGCUCGAGUGGCGAACGGGUGAGUAACACGUGAGUAACCUGCCCUUGACUUUGGGAUAACUUCAGGAAACUGGGGCUAAUACCGGAUAGGAGCUCCUGCUGCAUGGUGGGGGUUGGAAAGUUUCGGCGGUUGGGGAUGGACUCGCGGCUUAUCAGCUUGUUGGUGGGGUAGUGGCUUACCAAGGCUUUGACGGGUAGCCGGCCUGGGAGGGUGACCGGCCACAUUGGGACUGCGGUACGGACCAGACUGCUACGGGAGGCAGCAGUGGGGAAUAUUGCACAAUGGGCGGAAGCCUGAUGCAGCAACGCCGCGUGCGUGAUGACGGCCUUCGGGUUGUAAACCGCUUUCGCCUGUGACGAAGCGUGAGUGACGGUAAUGGGUAAAGAAGCACCGGCUAACUACGUG
Molecule: ribosomal RNA, 468 nt
Filed under: uncultured bacterium
Lineage: Bacteria
Description: partial 16S ribosomal RNA
Rfam family: Bacterial small subunit ribosomal RNA
Source: RNAcentral